This 91-nucleotide Y RNA is filed under the name Propithecus coquereli (Coquerel's sifaka). RNAcentral's name for it is "Y RNA (ENSPCOG00000009660.1)". It matches the Rfam family "Y RNA". From Rfam's summary of the family: Y RNAs are components of the Ro ribonucleoprotein particle (Ro RNP), in association with Ro60 and La proteins. The Y RNAs and Ro60 and La proteins are well conserved, but the function of the Ro RNP is not known. In humans the RNA component can be one of four small RNAs -- hY1, hY3, hY4 and hY5. The record is from RNAcentral. Lineage: Eukaryota; Metazoa; Chordata; Mammalia; Primates; Indriidae.
UGGCUGUCCGAUGGUAGUGGGUUAUCAGAACUUAUUAACAUUAGUGUCAGUAAAGUUGGUAUUCAACCCCCCACUGCUAAAUUUGGCUUAA